GUGAACGCUGGCGGCGUGCCUAAUACAUGCAAGUCGAACGCUAGUCGCGGACCUGAUCACUUCGGUGAGACGUAAAGCAUAUGGCUAGAGUGGCGAACGGGUGAGUAACACGUGGACAACCUGCCUCUAAGCAGGGGAUAACAUUUGGAAACAGAUGCUAAUACCGUAUAACAACGCAUUUCGCAUGAAGUGUGUUUAAAAGGGGCUUCGGCCUCACUUAGAGAUGGAUCCGCGGUGCAUUAGUUAGUUGGUGAGGUAAAGGCUUACCAAGACGAUGAUGCAUAGCCGAGUUGAAGACUGAUCGGCCACAUUGGGACUGAGACA
RNAcentral lists this ribosomal RNA (324 nucleotides) under Leuconostoc fallax. Its description in RNAcentral is "bacterial SSU rRNA". It matches the Rfam family "Bacterial small subunit ribosomal RNA", at positions 29 to 326 of the family's 1533-position model. Lineage: Bacteria; Bacillati; Bacillota; Bacilli; Lactobacillales; Lactobacillaceae. The record is from RNAcentral.